Molecule: ribosomal RNA, 485 nt
Filed under: uncultured bacterium
Lineage: Bacteria
Description: bacterial LSU rRNA
Rfam family: Bacterial large subunit ribosomal RNA
Source: RNAcentral
CCGGGGAACUGAAACAUCUAAGUACCCGGAGGAAAGGAAAUCAAGAGAGACUCCGUUAGUAGUGGCGAGCGAACGCGGACCAGCCGAGCCUUGAGAGUGACUGGAAUGGCCUGGAAAGGCCAGCCACAGCGGGUGACAGCCCCGUACAGGAAGCUCGAUGGGACGUAUCAAGUAGGGCGGGACACGUGAAAUCCUGUCUGAAGAUCGGGGGACCACCCCGAAGGCUAAGUACUCCUUACUGACCGAUAGCGAACCAGUACCGUGAGGGAAAGGUGAAAAGCACCCCGACGAGGGGAGUGAAACAGUUUCUGAAACCGGACGCCUACAAGCAGUCGGAGGGGCCUUGAGCCCUGACGGCGUACCUUUUGUAUAAUGGGUCAACGACUUGGUCUGUCGAGCAAGCUUAAGCCGGUAGGUGUAGGCGCAGCGAAAGCGAGUCUUAAAAGGGCGCACGAGUUCGACGGAUCAGACCCGAAACCAGAUGA